GUAGGGUGCGAGCGUUAAUCGGAAUUACUGGGCGUAAAGGGUGCGCAGGCGGCCCCGCAUGUCAGGCGUGAAAUCCCCGGGCUUAACCUGGGAAUGGCGCUUGAAACUACGGGGCUGGAGUAUGGCAGAGGGAGGUGGAAUUCCACGUGUAGCGGUGAAAUGCGUAGAGAUGUGGAGGAACACCGAUGGCGAAGGCAGCCUCCUGGGCCAAUACUGACGCUCAUGCACGAAAGCGUGGGGAGCAAACAGGAUUAGAUACCCUGGUAGUCCACGCCCUAAACGAUGAUGACUAGUUGUUGGAGGAGUUAAAUCCUUUAGUAACGCAGCUAACGCGAGAAGUCAUCCGCCUGGGGAGUACGGUCGCAAGAUUAAA
Molecule: ribosomal RNA, 373 nt
Filed under: uncultured bacterium
Lineage: Bacteria
Description: bacterial SSU rRNA
Rfam family: Bacterial small subunit ribosomal RNA
Source: RNAcentral